Long non-coding RNA from Cyprinus carpio (common carp), 2784 nucleotides. RefSeq lists it as uncharacterized. The transcript has 2 exons. The record is from RefSeq and is a predicted model, not a curated record. Lineage: Eukaryota; Metazoa; Chordata; Actinopteri; Cypriniformes; Cyprinidae.
UUAAACUGCAACUGCAGCGUCACCUUUUCGCUCUUCAGGUUUGACUUAUUAUUAUUAAUAUUAUUAUUUAUUGCAUGAUAAGGACAUUUAAGCGUCCGUGCCUUUUCGCUCGUUUUUUCCCCCUUUCUUUUCGAUUGGUUGGAGGGCUAAAGAUCGGAAGCAGUUUAUUUAUGCUAAUGAACGAGUUGGGGGUUGUAGAUAUUUACGUUCAUCGGGAGCCGCCCUUCAUUCACCCACAUGGUUCAAGGCAGGUCGUGUUCGCGCCACUUUUGCAAUUUUACUCUGAUUAAGAAAGUCGUUUUGGCAGAAGUUUCACUUCGCUUUGGACGCGCGCCGCGUUCGUCUCAUUCGAUCGCGGUCCACUUUUAAGUUCACGCACCAGUUUCGCAGAUUUGUCCAGAGCAGUGGCAGUAAACGGCAAGUGAGUGAAGAUGGUGGAUUUCACUGGAGGUGAUCUCCGCGCAGGAUUUCGUAACUCCGCUAUCGCAAGCGACAACGACGGCGAUACAAACAAUGUAGUAAGUGGCGCAUGGUAGUCCUCUCCACCUCCAUAGUUGGGGAGAAUGUGGGAGAUUUGAAAAGCAUGCUUGCUGCAAUGCAACUACCAACUAUUGUUUUCCACCGCACGCCUGCGCAGGGCGCUUUAAUUCGCCUCGUACGCACGCGUUCGCGUAGUCGGAUACGAAUUAAGUUGUUUUUAGACUCGGAGAGCGAUGUUUUCUCGUUCUGUUGAGCGUGCGAGUUAAAGUGCCUCCAGAACAAAGCAGUAGCACAUGGGGGGACGCGUAGGCCGCACGCGCUAGCUUAGCAACGGCGCGCCGGACAAAAACAUCCCCCGUUUUUGCAUUGGCUUUCAGCUUUAGGUUUACGAGGAUGCGUGUGGAAGGUUGUUAAAAUUAUUAAAGAUGACUAGCCACACAGAAGCUCCACGGUUUUUAAUAAAAAGUUAUUUUUGAUGGAGAAACGGAUGGAGCUAGCCAGCACUAGCCGUUGAAGUUCAACUGCUAACCGGCUAGUUUCGCUCAGCAAACGCUUCGUGUAAAUGCCACGAGCGCCUUAUUUGUUGACGUUGAGACAUUUCGUUGCUUUUAUAUUUUUGAGUGCAUGUUUAAGCCACACUCCUAGCCAGCUAGCUUAGCAUUAGCGGCUAACGCUGCCCUCAACAUCAGCCGAACGCGAAAGCAACAACGCGCCACUUUAUUUCCCAGCCUCGUUUUCUUGUUUCUCCCUGUUUGACACAUUGAACUUAUUAGUUGUUGUCUGAAACAGUAGUUUUUGAGCUAAGAAUGAUCCGGUUGGUGAACUCAACGGCGCCAUGUUAGUGCAGAUUGUUUCGGGUUUGGGGGAGGGGUGAGUGGGGAGCGCCUCACUGCGCAUGCGCCACACAGACCGACGGCGCGGUCCGCAGGCUGCGCAAUUCAUUCACUCGCUCAACUCUAGUUCUCAUAACUUGGACAUUGAUAGUGAAACGCACCUUCAAAACGGUGGGAGCGAACUAGGUAAUGAUGGUUUGGUGGAGUUAGCUUUUUUUUUAAAAGCGCGAUAGCCUACACCGUCAAAGUUGGGUAUGAAUGGUACUGCAUGUGCUUUGCCAUGAGGCCCUCGCUUUUGUAGUAUAGAAAGUCAGUCCCAUUUACUUUCUUUUUCAUUUCAAUGAACUAACUCGAAUAUGUCUCCCCUUCCCCUUCUCAGAAACAUCAAGAAAGAUGGGAGUAGUUGCCCGCAAGUUCUCUGGAGGCAUCCGUUCACUCUUGAUGGUGUGGAUGUCAGUGUAUUGUCAAAGUGCUUACAGUGCAGGUAGUAUUAUGGAAUAUCUACUGCAGUGGAGGCACUUCUAGCAAUACACUUGACCAUUGCCUUUUCCCUCUGCCUAAAGCAUCCUUCACCAAGACCCCAUACCUAACGGCUUUGUGCUAAGGUGCAUCUAGUGCAGAUAGUGAAGUAGACUAGCACCUACUGCCCUAAGUGCUCCUUCUGGCACGAGGGACUGUGACUUUCACCCAUAUGUGUGUGUGUGAGAAUUGUUUUUAUUUUUUUUGGUGCAGUUCUCUGCUAGUUUUGCAUAGUUGCACUACAAGAAAACUGGAGUUGUGCAAAUCUAUGCAAAACUGAUGGUGGCCUGCUGCUUCUCCACGUUUCCCAGAUUUUGAUUUGAAAUCUGAAAAGCGGUGGCUCAAUUUUUUUUUUUUUUUUUAAUCUCUUUCUGCCAGUGUUGCCAUUGUGUUGGAGUUUCAGCAGUGCUAAAGUGCUUAUAGUGCAGGUAGUAUUUCUGUCAUCUACUGCAGUGUGAGCACUUGAAGUACUUCUAGCUAAAUGCAUCUGGGAUCCGAAGACUCUCGCGGACACUCCUGAGGUCUCUCCGUACCGUUCUGGAACCUUGCUGGACCCCGGUCAGUUUUGCUGGUUUGCAUUCAGCUUUUAAGACUGUGCGCUGUGCAAAUCCAUGCAAAACUGACAGUGGCAGCUCGCAUCCGAGAGCCGCUUCUGGAGCCGUUUGGUCCCUUUCUGCACAGGUUGGGAUUGGUAGCAAUGCUGUGAGUUUGGAAGGUAUUGCACUUGUCCCGGCCUGUAGAGGAUUGUGGAGAUUGUACCCAACAAGUAGGGUUUUUUUGUUUUUGGAAGUUCCACAUUCUUGGUUUUCAUUAUUACAUUUGUGUAUUUUCCUUUAUUUUUUUAUUAUUAAUUGAAAUACUGAAUCUAUGUAAAAUUGAUUUAUUUAUUUUUUUCGCCAUCAAGUGAUGUAAUUUUUAAAUGCAAAGAUUUUCAAUAAAAGAUUAAGAGGUG